UCCCUGGCAGUCCAGUGGUUAGGACACUGCACUUCAGCUGCAGGGGGCAUGGGUUUGAUUCCUGGUUGAGGAA
This 73-nucleotide transfer RNA is filed under the name Bos taurus (domestic cattle). It matches the Rfam family "tRNA". Rfam says of the family: Transfer RNA (tRNA) molecules are approximately 80 nucleotides in length. Their secondary structure includes four short double-helical elements and three loops (D, anti-codon, and T loops). Further hydrogen bonds mediate the characteristic L-shaped molecular structure. tRNAs have two regions of fundamental functional importance: the anti-codon, which is responsible for specific mRNA codon recognition, and the 3' end, to which the tRNAs corresponding amino acid is attached (by aminoacyl-tRNA synthetases). tRNAs cope with the degeneracy of the genetic code in two manners: having more than one tRNA (with a specific anti-codon) for a particular amino acid; and 'wobble' base-pairing, i.e. permitting non-standard base-pairing at the 3rd anti-codon position. Lineage: Eukaryota; Metazoa; Chordata; Mammalia; Artiodactyla; Bovidae. The record is from Rfam by way of RNAcentral. RNAcentral also lists the same sequence under 4 other names.